AAGAGAAUCCCGUGAUGAAGUCAAAGACAUCACUUUUGGUGCAAAAGAUUUGGAAGGAAUAUCAUAUCUUCAUGACGAUGCCUUGGUCGUCUCUGCGGUUGUGGCUAACUUCGAAGUAAAGAGGAUUCUGGUUGAUAAUGGGAGUGCAGCAAAUAUACUCUCGCAUGAGGCUUUCGCCAAAAUGGGGAUCUCUCCCAAACAGCUCAAAGCAGUAAAAACUCCCCUACAGGGAUUUGGUGGUGGCGUCAUUAUCCCUGA
RNAcentral lists this long non-coding RNA (258 nucleotides) under Olea europaea subsp. europaea. The record is from RNAcentral. Lineage: Eukaryota; Viridiplantae; Streptophyta; Magnoliopsida; Lamiales; Oleaceae.